This 348-nucleotide unclassified non-coding RNA is filed under the name soil metagenome. RNAcentral describes it as "partial contains 5.8S ribosomal RNA, internal transcribed spacer 2, and large subunit ribosomal RNA". The stretch from base 1 to 120 matches the Rfam family "5.8S ribosomal RNA", at positions 35 to 154 of the family's 154-position model. The record is from RNAcentral.
GAUGAAGAACGCAGUAAAAUGCGAUAAGUAAUGUGAAUUGCAGAAUUCAGUGAAUCAUCGAAUCUUUGAACGCACAUUGCGCCCGCCAGUAUUCUGGCGGGCAUGCCUGUCUGAGCGUCAUUUCAACCCUCAUGCCCCUAGGGCGUGGUGUUGGGGAUCGGCCAAAGCCCGCGAGGGACGGCCGGCCCCUAAAUCUAGUGGCGGACCCGUCGUGGCCUCCUCUGCGAAGUAGUGAUAUUCCGCAUCGGAGAGCGAUGAGCCCCUGCCGUUAAACCCCCAACUUUCCAAGGUUGACCUCAGAUCAGGUAGGAAUACCCGCUGAACUUAAGCAUAUCAAUAAGCGGAGGA